GUUGAUACUGCGGUUCAGAUAUUACUCAGA
RNAcentral lists this non-coding RNA (30 nucleotides) under Cricetulus griseus (Chinese hamster). Lineage: Eukaryota; Metazoa; Chordata; Mammalia; Rodentia; Cricetidae. The record is from RNAcentral.